UGAGUGCCGGUUGUCCUUUGUGCGGCUGUGCCGCUGAGACAAUCUCUCACCUUCUUCAUAAAUGCCUUUUUGUUAAAAGCAUCUGGAUCAUUUUGAAGACUUGCUUGAACAUAAGGGGUUGGCCUUCAAAUUUCUACUCUCUACGGACCUCCUGGAGGCUAAAGAAAAUCCGCGAAAAUUGGAGAAUAGCUUGGGACCAGUUGCCAAUGGCUCUGUUUUGGCAGGUGUGGCAGGAAAGGAAUCAAAGAAUUUUCCUUAACAGAAGUAGCUCUAUCUGUUCAGUCCUCUGCAAAAGCCUGAGAGUGUCUUUGCUCUGUAAAGAAGGCUGCAGGUCACCGCGCACUCUGGAAUCAACUCAAGAAUCUGCUACCUGCGGUACAAUGGCCGGGUACUUCUGCAUGAUCCCUGCAGUUCCCUUGUUUUUUUUUAAGUCUGUUUGUAGCUCUCCAAAUUUUUCUGCUUUGACUCUGUCGGCAGAUGAUAAUUCUCUUCUGAAGCCUGGUCUAUCCAUUUGCUGCUAUCUGUUUACAGGAAUCGGGUCCAUUCCGGACACUCAGAUGUGUCUGUAUGAAUCUGUUUUGUUCGACUUCUUCUCACUCUCUCCUAAGUCUUUUGUAAAUUCUCCUAUAUAUAUUUUUCUAAUAAAAGAAGGGUAGUUUCCAGCUUCCCUUUCCCCUACAAAAAAAUUAAAAAGGAGAGGAGAAUGGAGUAUGGCCAGUGGUGCUCCAAGCUCCGACUGACCAGUGACAUAAGGAGCACCAAAGACAGCCAAACCACCUGACAAAGACAAGAACAGGGCAAGAUCUGAAAUUCUUUUUUUAGAUAAUAAUCAUAAUCACAAUGACUAUUGGAAGUCUAAAGUCGUGAUAAUUCUGUAGAACUUAAUAAAACCCCAUCAUAGCAGGAAAAGAUGCACUUAUUCACAUACUAAUCU
Molecule: long non-coding RNA, 934 nt
Filed under: Phoenix dactylifera (date palm)
Lineage: Eukaryota; Viridiplantae; Streptophyta; Magnoliopsida; Arecales; Arecaceae
Description: long non-coding RNA (PDAC_LNC007926)
Source: RNAcentral